This is a long non-coding RNA of Macaca mulatta (Rhesus monkey), 1408 nucleotides long. RefSeq lists it as uncharacterized. The record is from RefSeq and is a predicted model, not a curated record. NCBI's taxonomy places the organism in Eukaryota, Metazoa, Chordata, Mammalia, Primates, Cercopithecidae.
GUAUCUAAAGGGUUAUGCCCCUUCUGAAGUCUCUAGGGAAAAUCUUUUCCUUGACUUUUUCACUUCUGGAGGCUUCUUGCAUUUCUAGGCUCAUGGCCCCUUUCCUCCAUCCCUAAGACAGCAGCAGCCCCUGCUUUAUUUUGCAUGGUUUCUCUCUGUCCUUAAAACUGACCUCAGAUUUCAUACAGAAUAUCUGAAUGAAACAAAGGCAAAGCUUUACUGGUGAGCAUGAGAUGACAAGUCUUUGCUUCAUAAUUGUCAUAACAGAAAGAAACUGUAUCCAUUAGCUACCCAGCAGGACCUUGACCUCUUUAAGAUCCAGGGAUGGGUUGACAGGAAAGGAAAGUGGAGUGUAAACCAGUGCUUCAAAACCAGCAGCUGCCACAAACUGUAGUGACCUUUCAGUGUCCUGCCGACUUCCACUCUCUUGCUUCCAGCAGGAGUUAGAAUCUAACAUUUCUUUACAAUGGCCUCUCUAACUUCUUGGACUCAAGUGUCACAGGACUCAAUGAAGAUGUCAGCAUGCUACGUUUCUCUCUGAAAGCUCUGGAAGAAAAGCAGUUUCUUUGUCUUUCCCAGUGUCCACAAGCUGCCAACAUCCUUGGCUUAUAGCCCUUUUCCAUCUUCAAAUCCAGCAAUGAAGAGCACCAGUAUGGACCCAGGAAGGACUGAAAGGCAGUAAAGGGCACACUAGGACUCUGUAUGAAGAGAGAAAGAAGAUACAGCGUCUUGCUAUGUACACAGUUUACAAGACCACAUUCGCAUUCCAAUGACAAUGAAAGGAAGAAGCAAAGAACUCCGUUCCCGCAACCUUGGCAAAGUCAUUUCCCAGUUCCUGCACUCACUUUCCUUAUCGUGGCAAAAUGAAGGGCUGGAUUAGAAGAGAGAAUCUUUACGAAUCUUUCCAAUUUUUAACUCCAUUCAAUUCAACAAACAUUUGCCGAGUGGAUACUAUGUUGCAGUCACUGUGCUACACAGCUCCCAGCUGUAUAAUUUUUGUUUUAUUCCAUCGAAAACUAGAGUCAGGUGUCAGUUUGUUCCCAAUAUACCAGACAGAGACAGCAAUUUUCACCAGAGAAGAUCUCGAUGUGUUUUGUGCUAGAUCUGACUUUAAUUAAGUGUAGACCAUGCUCCCAUCAGUGCUGGAAUUGGCCCGUGUAACUUGCUUUAGCUAAUGAAAUGUUACCAAACACAACAUGAUCAAAGGCUUGAGAGAUGAUUUCCCUCCUGUGGUUCCGCAAUUGCCAUGGAAAGAACAUGGUCUGGUGGUCCCUGAUCCCUAAAGAAUGAAAGAUACAUGGAAUAGGCUUGGCAUAAAUGUGCAGUUUGGAGUCAAGCCCAACCUAGAUCAGACAACAUUUAGCCAACCUUCAGAUUCAUGAACAAUAAUAAAUAAUUUUUGUUUUAA